GUGUUCCUCAAGCUCAUCUGGUAGAGCAUGGUGCUAGCAACGCCAAGAUCUUGGGUUCGAUUCCCAGGGAACACA
Myxocyprinus asiaticus (Chinese sucker) is the source of this 75-nucleotide non-coding RNA. The record is from the annotation of a RefSeq genome assembly. NCBI's taxonomy places the organism in Eukaryota, Metazoa, Chordata, Actinopteri, Cypriniformes, Catostomidae.